Molecule: ribosomal RNA, 484 nt
Filed under: uncultured Desulfobulbus sp.
Lineage: Bacteria; Pseudomonadati; Thermodesulfobacteriota; Desulfobulbia; Desulfobulbales; Desulfobulbaceae
Description: bacterial SSU rRNA
Rfam family: Bacterial small subunit ribosomal RNA
Source: RNAcentral
AACUUAAAGGAAUUGACGGGGGCCCGCACAAGCGGAGGAGCAUGUGGUUUAAUUCGAUGAUACGCGAGGAACCUUACCUGGGCUCGAACGUAAGAUGACUGUAGGUGAAAGCUUACAUCUCUUCGGAGCAUUUUACGAGGUGCUGCAUGGUUGUCGUCAGCUCGUGCCGUGAGGUGUCGGGGUUAAGUCCCGCAACGAGCGCAACCCUUGCCUUUAGUUGCCAGCAGUUCGGCUGGGCACUCUAAAGGGACUGCCGGUGUUAAACCGGAGGAAGGUGGGGAUGACGUCAAGUCCUCAUGGCCUUUAUGACCAGGGCUACACACGUACUACAAUGGCCGAUACAAAGGGCAGCGACACUGCGAGGUGAAGCCAAUCCCGUAAAAUCGGUCUCAGUCCGGAUUGGAGUCUGCAACUCGACUCCAUGAAGUUGGAAUCGCUAGUAAUCGUGGAUCAGCAUGCCACGGUGAAUACGUUCCCGGGCCUU